AAGUGGAAUUUAUUAAUCAUAGAACAUAUAUUUUCUUUUGGUAGGCAGUAUGAUGUAUUGUCAAAUAUUUUUCCUAAGUUAUUAUACCAGUUAACACUCCUAAGUUCCUAUGCUUUGAAAGUACACUUCUCCUCUGCAGUAUUUUUAUUCUAGAUUUGGUGAUAUUAAUGUGCAUGUGGAGAUAUUUUCUAGUUCAUCUCAGAUUUUACAUGUGCACCCAUUGUUGCAUUUCACAUUCAUUCAGUGAGGAUUCAGAGGUGCAUAUUUGCCUUGUCAUAUGUUUAGGGGUUUAAUAGUCAAAAUUGCUCCUAGGAAUUAAAAGGAAACUACCUGUUCGUUUGAAAAAAUACAGUAUUAAUCACAAUAAAGUUUAUUUAGAGAUGUUUGAUUUUAUGACUUACUCCUAAGUGUGGUAUUUAAUUCAUACCUACAAUGGAACCAGAAGUAUGAAUUAACUCAGGGAAGAUCUAGAUACUGUAUCUGGUGUUAUUUUUGCAAUAGGCUGAAUUGCAUUUUAUGGCUGCUGUUUUCUCUUCUGUAUCCUUUGAGAGGAAGCAAUACCUCAAUAUAUUAAACACUGCCUAGAUCAUCAGCACUGAGCAUUUUAAUUCUGUCAACUGUGUAUAUAGCAUUUGGUUAAAAAAGAAUGGAAACUUAGGACUUAAACGUCUUAGUUCACAAAAUGGUUCAUUCAAGUAGCCUACCUGCUUGGGCUGGAGGGUGCUACAGCUAAUAAUGAUAUUCUCAAUAUGAGCAAAAGAACUAUCAAAGAGCACUUAGAAUCAGUCUAGAAAAGCCUGUUACGCUGGAUUUUCAAAUGCUAGAAUUUUCUUCCCUUUUAGACAAAGCUAUAUCAGUCCAUUCAUUCAUUCAUCCAUCCUUCACUUGCACAAUGAUUCAACAACAACUUACUGAGUGCUAUGUGUGAAGCUCUGUUCUAGAUACUAGAGGUAUAGCAGGGAAAAAAGCAAUCAUAGAGUUUGCCUUCUUAAGGAUAAACAAGAAAGAAAAAUAUUGUAUACCUAUUGUCUGUCAUGUGGGCUCUGAAGGGAAAUGAAAACAGUAAGGGGUAUGGGAGUAUAGGUUUGGUGUUGGGAAUUGAUGUUGCUUUUUAUAAAGGGAAGGUCAGGGAAAGCCUUUUGGUCAAUGACAUUUGUGCAGAGAGCUGAGGGAUGGAGUAGUGUAGAUGCCCACUUGAAGGAGGGUAAGCUAAGUGAAGGAGGGAGCAUGCCUGGCCAGUUGAGGGACAGUAAGGAGGCGUCUAUAGUUGAAGGCAUUGAGGUUGGGGUGGGGGGGCGGCGGAGCAAUUAGAAAUGGGCAAGCAGAGGAAUGGCAGGGACCCAGAUAGGGCUCAGUAGGUCCUUGUAAUGGCCUUGCCCUUUUCUCUGAGUGGGAACCCACCAAAGGAUUUUGAAGAGGGAAGUGACUAUUCAUGUCUUAUUUCAAGGAUGACCUUGAACAUUGGGUAUAGAAUUGACUGUAGGAACAAGGGUAGACACACAAAAAUGAGUGAAGAUUUCUAACAGGUAUGUUCAGGUAAGAACCAAAUGGCAUAGAUGUUUGAUUUUGUGGUUAUCACCAUCUCUGUACUUUGUUGGUAAAGAUAACCAUUGUAUUUAUCCAGACAUGAACAAUGGUGGCCCAGUAGAAAUGAUUUAGUAAUAUACAAAUUAGCAAUAUGCUAUGGAUAUUAUAAAAAUUAGCUCUAUACUUAAUGCUUUUUUUCUACCCAUCUAAUACAGAUUUUCUUCUGGAAGCUCUUGUUUUUAUUUAAAAUGUUUGUACCAUUCUUUCAGUUGCUCCUGAACUUCAGUCAUUUGUGACUUCUCUCUUCAUCCUUUGUACAUCCAAGCAGUCAGGGUUAUUAUCUUCCUCUCUCCACAUCCUCUUCAGUUUUUUGCCGUUCUCAACUUUAGACCCUCCUUUCAUCUUGGAAUUAACUUGCAGAUUUUCAUCUUUAAUUCAAAGGGAAAGCAACAAAAUGAAUAUAGGUUUUGAAGUGAGAUCUUGAUGCUAAUUGGUCCAGAUCUGUGUUCCUCCAUGUAGGGCCUUUUGCAGUUUUUGAAACUCAGUUGUCUCUUUGUAAAAUGAGAGCAGCAGUAUCUGCUUUACAGGAUUACAGUGAGAAGUGGGACUAGAGAGUGUUUAAAGAGCCUGGAAGCAUUGGGCACUUAGAAAAGGUUGGUUCUUUCUACAUUAUAUCCUUCCUCUAUCUGUGAUCCAUCUGUCAGGCCCUAAAGCAUAGCUCUUACUGUGUCAUUUCUCUUGUCAAAAACCUUCAUUGGCUCCCUAUUGCCCCACAUGUUAAAUGCAGCACUUUUGCCUGGCAUUCAGAACUUUUGCCUGCCAUUUGGAACUCCAAUUCUCAGACUCCAACUUUAAUUUAUCUCUCUAUGAAAAUCGUACCUGUCUUCAAAUUCUGUCUGAAAUACUAUUGUACUCACAAAGGUAUGAACAGUCUGGAUGUGGUUUCUCCUAGUCUGCAUGUCGAGGGCGCUACCUCAUGUCCAUGCUCUGGAGCCAGAAAGACCAGGUCCCACUAUGUCUUGUCACCCUGGCUGCAUUACUUAAUCCCUGCGUCUCAGUUUCCCCUGCAAAGUGGAAUAGUGAUACCUACUUGAUAGGGUUAUGGUGGGGAUUAAAUGAGAUUCUAUAGGUGAUCCACUUUGAAUAGUGUCUGGCACUUGGAAAGCUUAAGUCAGUUUCUAUUAAUUAUAGGUAUGAAUAAUCUACCUUAUUUCAUGAGCAGAAUCUGUGUUUUACAGGGCCUUCAAAUUAAAAGUUGUUUGAGAUACAGUGAAAAGGGCAGGGACUAGGAUUCUCAUACUGGAUUCUAGUACUGGUUUCCACUAUUAAAUAAGCUAUGUGAUGCUGACUGCCAGCCUCCCUGGAUCUUUCUUCCUUCAGUUGCAAAAAGAGGGCUGAACAAAAAUCACUAAGCUCUCUUUCAGUUCAGAUAGACACAUGGAUAUCUAAUGAACACUUCCAACUCAAAUCAACCAAAACAGAACUCUUAAUUUUUACUCCUCUAAAUGUACUUUCUCUAUCCCAGUAAAUUAUACUGCCCUCUACCCAAUUUAAGUAAAACAUCCAUGAGCUGCCUUGGAAUUAUCUAUUUCUUUUGCCAUCUAAAUCUAAUCUGUCUGCACAUCCUAUUGGUUUGCUUUACAAAACAUAUCCUGAAUCCAUCUACUUCUCCCUGUCAUCACAGGUAGAAUCCUAGAUAGAAAAUACUCUCUUACCUGAAAUGUUGCCAUAGGUUCCUAAUCCAUCUUUCUCUCUCCACUCUUGCCCUCUUUCAGCCUAUCUUCCACAGAGCCAAAGUGAUAUUUAAAACUUAAACCAGAUAAUAUCAUUCUCCUGCUUGAAACUCCUCAGUUGCUUCUCAUAACACUUGUAAGAUCCAAACUCCUUUACCUCCUCAUACCACUCUCCCCCUUAUACUUCAGCUGUAGGGCCCUUUUUACUUUUCUUGCCAGCUGACCACACCCAUGUCUGCCUUGGAUCUUUGCACCUGCUAUUCUCUAUGGUUGGAAUAUUUAUCCCCCAGAUGUCAACAUGAUUGCUUCUUAUCAUUUAGAUCUCAGUUUUAUCUGAUUGGCCCCUCCUUCCUACCAGUGCUGCUCUAUUUUUUCCACUCCAUUUAUUCCUAAGAUUUGCCACUAUCUGAAAAUAGCCUACACAUUUAUCCUUCCCCACCCUCCAGGAGAAAUUAAAUGUCCUAAACAUUAGGUUCCCAUCAUGGCACAGUGGAAACGAAUCUGACUAGGAACCAUGAGGUUGCAGGUUCCAUCCCUGGCCUCAUUCAGUGGGUUAAGGAUCCCGUGUUUCAGUGAGGUGUGGUGUAGGCUGCAGACUUGGCUCAGAUCCCACGUUGCUAUGGCUGUGGUGUAGGCUGGCAGCUACAGCUCCGAUUUGACCCCUAGCCUGGGAACCUCCAUAUGCCA
RNAcentral lists this long non-coding RNA (3947 nucleotides) under Sus scrofa (pig). RNAcentral describes it as "lncRNA (ENSSSCG00000056909.1)". The record is from RNAcentral. Lineage: Eukaryota; Metazoa; Chordata; Mammalia; Artiodactyla; Suidae.